GAUGAACGCUAGCUACAGGCUUAACACAUGCAAGUCGAGGGGCAGCAUGGUCUUAGCUUGCUAAGGCCGAUGGCGACCGGCGCACGGGUGAGUAACACGUAUCCAACCUGCCGUCUACUCUUGGACAGCCUUCUGAAAGGAAGAUUAAUACAAGAUGGCAUCAUGAGUUCACAUGUUCACAUGAUUAAAGGUAUUCCGGUAGACGAUGGGGAUGCGUUCCAUUAGAUAGUAGGCGGGGUAACGGCCCACCUAGUCUUCGAUGGAUAGGGGUUCUGAGAGGAAGGUCCCCCACAUUGGAACUGAGACACGGUCCAAACUCCUACGGGAGGCAGCAGUGAGGAUAUUGGUCAAUGGGCGAGAGCCUGAACCAGCCAAGUAGCGUGAAGGAUGACUGCCCUAUGGGUUGUAAACUGCUUUUAUAAGGGAUAAAGUGAGUCUCGUGAGACUUUUGCAUGUACCUUAUGAAUAAGGACCGGNUAA
Molecule: ribosomal RNA, 480 nt
Filed under: uncultured bacterium
Lineage: Bacteria
Description: bacterial SSU rRNA
Rfam family: Bacterial small subunit ribosomal RNA
Source: RNAcentral